GGUUGUAGCUCAGUGGUAGAGUACUUGCCUACUAUGUGUGAGGCCCUGGGUUUAAUUCCUAGUACCA
This 67-nucleotide transfer RNA is filed under the name Marmota monax (woodchuck). Its description in RNAcentral is "tRNA.Ser". It matches the Rfam family "tRNA". From Rfam's summary of the family: Transfer RNA (tRNA) molecules are approximately 80 nucleotides in length. Their secondary structure includes four short double-helical elements and three loops (D, anti-codon, and T loops). The record is from RNAcentral. Lineage: Eukaryota; Metazoa; Chordata; Mammalia; Rodentia; Sciuridae.